GUGUUUGGAGGAGAGUUUCAGUCUGGACACACUGCUGAUGUGCUAAGUGUUUCUAUCAAUGGGUCAAACUCGAGAAUGUUUGUAUCUGGUUCGUGUGAUUCAACUGCCCGGUUGUGGGACACCCGUGUUGCAAGUCGAGCUGUGCGCACAUUUCAUGGGCAUGAGGGAGAUGUUAAUGCUGUGAAGUUCUUUCCAGAUGGCAAUAGAUUUGGAACGGGAUCAGAUGAUGGAACUUGCAGGUUGUU
Molecule: unclassified non-coding RNA, 245 nt
Filed under: Hevea brasiliensis (rubber tree)
Lineage: Eukaryota; Viridiplantae; Streptophyta; Magnoliopsida; Malpighiales; Euphorbiaceae
Source: RNAcentral